Long non-coding RNA from Triticum dicoccoides, 1921 nucleotides. RefSeq lists it as uncharacterized. Lineage: Eukaryota; Viridiplantae; Streptophyta; Magnoliopsida; Poales; Poaceae. The transcript has 4 exons. The record is from RefSeq and is a predicted model, not a curated record.
UUCCCAGCACCCCGAUCUGGCGCGCCUCCACCCACCUCCGUCGGCCACCGGCGUGCCGCCCACCCCAAGCCACCGGCGCCACGCCUCCACCCACCGCCGCCGGCCGCAGCGCCCCGCAGCCCCCACUGCCGCCUGCCGUCGGCGGGGCCUCCCCCAAUCCCCACGCGGCGCGUCCUCCCGAGCUACUCGAUGCGCCGUCGUGGUCCGCCUCAACCUCCCACCGGCCUCCUCCCGCGACGCUGCCGCCGGCCUCUCAAUCGCGCGUGCCCGCCGCAUCCACCGAAUCGAGCGCCGUCGCCCGCCCCGACCACGCAUGCCGCCGCCUCAAGGACCGGGUUACAGGCCCAUGUCUCCGGCGAAGCUCGUUCAGGGGUCCGACGCCGUCGGCAGGGGUCAGAUGCCUUGGUCCCGUGACCUCCGGUCGCCGUAUCCCGCCUGCAUGCGUCCCUCGCCGACGCAUCUCCAACUCACCAUGGACAGCUUCCUCGUCAGGCUUGAACUUCUUCUCCAGCCUCCACCCUGCUAGCCUAGCUGUCCUCUGCCUCUUGUCACCUCCGGCUCCCCAACCUCCUGCCUCAGGCAAACAAAAAUGGGCACAUUAUUUUGCUCGGCACUGAUGUGCAUGUCGCCGCUCGUCAUUGCAUCCUCCAGCUCAACCCCACCGUUGCAGUCCAACGACUCCAGUUGCAGCCGUUCGCCACUGUCGUGCGAGGUAAGAUGGAUCUCAACAUCUGGCUCAUCCCUGUCGCAGCCAUGGCUCCCGGCAGGCCGCUGCCUUGUGACGAGGACGCCGGCCUUGCAUCCUCCCGCACGAACCCCACAGUGCGCCGCCACCGGGACCUGGCCUGCAAAGCACAGUUUUGGUUGUAUGGGGGCCGCUGUGCUCGCGAAAUGUGUGCGGGCUAAUUGACGCUGAUUGAAGCUCAUCUCCUCCCUCGCGUAUGCAUCAACAAAAACUGUGUGGGCUCGCUCCAGUCCAAGUUGUGCCACAGCAGUAGGGCGACUCUUCCAGGACGCAUCUCAUCUCAACCAGCUCCAAUUUUGCGCGCAUGGGGUGGUGCUGCUCCAGCAAGCUCCUUCGUCCCCGGCCCGUCCCUGAAUGCGGAUGCAGCACCGCAGGUUCAAGUUCACCAUGCGUCCCUGACGUAGCGCUGCUCCGGCUCCUCCCCCGCUUGCUGCCAGGUCUGUCUCUCCUUCCUCCCCUGCUCGCUGUCUUGUGCGGAGGUGGACGCGGCUACCUGACGGAGUGAAGCCGGCCUCCUAGCACCGACAGUUGCAAAAAAUAAAUAACAACAACAAGUUCAGAAUCAGAAAAAUGAGAAGUUCAAGAAGAACAAAGUUGGCCUGCAGGGACAACCAUGUUGAUCAUGAUUGAAAAAGGAUUGUGAAAUAAUAUUAUUGAGACUGAAGGCCAAGUUUGAUGCACGAUGUCAGAGGAUUCCAAGUCUUUUUCUGAGGCGGUUGAUGGCUUUCAAGAGAUGCGUUCAUAUCUCACAAGUUUCCAGAGGUUCAAGUUCAUCUAUAUAAGGAAUGCCAAUUUUGUUGCACAUCUGUGUGAAAAGAGGCACUAAACCUUAAUGUACUUGCUAUUUCUUUUCUUGUAACGACUACCUACCUAAUGGAGACUAUUCAAUCAUAGUUAUUUUUGCCUGCCAUGCCCCAGCACCUCCUCCAUCUCGGUGCCACCAUCACAACCCAGCCUCCAUUUGCUGGUUGCUGCUAGCUGUUGUUGCUGUGGCUUGCCUCGCCCUCUAGCUAAUGUUGGUGCGCUACUGUUGAAGUUCAACUAGAAUGCUAGGGAGGGAUUUCUGCGAGAGUUUAGCUACUAUAGUCCUUGGUUUUGUGUUUGAACUUGCUAUUGUCCAUGGUUAAAGAUUAUGAUGUUGCUUUUCUACAGAUGGUCUUCCUGUAGAUAUAUCAU